RNAcentral lists this ribosomal RNA (254 nucleotides) under uncultured bacterium. RNAcentral describes it as "partial 16S ribosomal RNA". It matches the Rfam family "Bacterial small subunit ribosomal RNA", at positions 524 to 773 of the family's 1533-position model. The record is from RNAcentral.
UACAGAGGGUGCAAGCGUUGUUCGGAAUUAUUGGGCGUAAAGGGCGCGUAGGCGGUUCGGCAAGUCUCUAGUGAAAUCUCAGGGCUCAACUCUGAGUCUGCUGGGGGAAACUGCCGGGGCUUGAGUGUGGGAGAGGAGAGUGGAAUUCCCGGUGUAGCGGUGAAAUGCGUAGAUAUCGGGGAGGAACACCUGUGGCGAAAGCGGCUCUCUGGACCACAACUGACGCUGAGGCGCGAAAAGCUAGGGGAGCAAAC